AAAACAUUUAGCUUUAUUUCUUUUCACAUUUUUUUUUUUCAGAUUGCUAAUAUAAAGAGUCAACUUUUGAACCUUAAGCCAUUUUUAGACCAGCCCUAAAAGAAGCAAUAAGAACAACUAAAUCACUUCAUGGGCCAUUUUGUUUUUCUCCAUCCUAGGUGUCUUGAUAAUCAUCUGUAUAAUCCUCUUUUUCUUCUCUUCCCCUUCCUCAACCUAUUGUACUCAUUUGUUAAAUGAGAAAGCUAGUGUGAUAUUUCUAUCCAUGUAAUAGAAAGUUUAUAUAAUAGAUUUAUAAUUAUCUGUUGAUAUAUAGCUUAUAAUUUCUAUAUAAUAGAAAUUAUAUAAUAACAGUUUCUGUACUUACAGACUGUACACUCAGUAAUGAUAAAGAACAAAAAUUCUACCCACUCUACUGAACCAAAUGAGGGUAUGAGCAAUUGUCUGUAGUCACGGCAUUCACAACCAUUGCAGUUUUUAGUUUGAAAUGUUUUUAUGAAAAUUAUGUACCCCAUUAUGACAGGUAAAAGUAAUGAGACUGUUAAAACUGCAAGUAGGAAAAUACAUAUGACUAUCAGAGAAAAGAGAUGUGAAAUAAUUUUAAGUGCUGAGAGAAGUG
RNAcentral lists this long non-coding RNA (616 nucleotides) under Pan troglodytes (chimpanzee). RNAcentral describes it as "long non-coding RNA NONPTRT015727". Lineage: Eukaryota; Metazoa; Chordata; Mammalia; Primates; Hominidae. The record is from RNAcentral.